Molecule: ribosomal RNA, 266 nt
Filed under: Salmonella enterica subsp. houtenae serovar 40:z4,z32:-
Lineage: Bacteria; Pseudomonadati; Pseudomonadota; Gammaproteobacteria; Enterobacterales; Enterobacteriaceae
Description: partial 23S ribosomal RNA
Rfam family: Bacterial large subunit ribosomal RNA
Source: RNAcentral
CCCAGACAGCCAGGAUGUUGGCUUAGAAGCAGCCAUCAUUUAAAGAAAGCGUAAUAGCUCACUGGUCGAGUCGGCCUGCGCGGAAGAUGUAACGGGGCUAAACCAUGCACCGAAGCUGCGGCAGCGACACUGAUGUGUUGUUGGGUAGGGGAGCGUUCUGUAAGCCGUUGAAGGUGUGUCGUGAGGCAUGCUGGAGGUAUCAGAAGUGCGAAUGCUGACAUAAGUAACGAUAAAGCGGGUGAAAAGCCCGCUCGCCGGAAGACCAA